RNAcentral lists this long non-coding RNA (236 nucleotides) under Elaeis guineensis (African oil palm). Its description in RNAcentral is "long non-coding RNA (EGUI_LNC016727)". Lineage: Eukaryota; Viridiplantae; Streptophyta; Magnoliopsida; Arecales; Arecaceae. The record is from RNAcentral.
CCUUACCGUAAGACUCUAUAAGCCAAAAAUUUGCCUCCCAAGUGAUUUCCAUAAAUUUUUUUAUGAACUUCUCAAAGUGCAUAGUCACAUCUGCUGGUCUCAAGCACUUCAGUCAGAAAAGAGAAAAUGAUCUUUUAUAAAGUUGGUCAUUCAUCAAAAUAUAUUGCGAGGCCAUCCAUCUAAAUUGUUUGGCUUCUGAAGGAUUUGCAGGUAGAGUUUCAUCAGUCAAGUACUGG